UUUUUUUCUGGAACAUUUUCUAUUUAUCUUAAAACUUUUAUUAAAUUUUGCAUGCUUUCAUUUUUAAACUAAAGACAUGUAAUCAACUAUGGAAUUAUUUUCUUCUACAUUAGUUCUUUUGUUAUCUUAAUAAAAAUACACAGCAAUUAGAAAUGAAACUUGAAAAUAAAGUACUAUUUACAUAUAUUUAUAAAAAUGGAUUAUCUGAAUAUGAUUAUAAUAAUACUUUGUAUUCUGUUACAGAAUUAAUUAAAAGGAUUUAUGGUAUAUCUUAUGACUCUACAGAAGCCUUGGGAUAUAGAUAGAAAUGAAUGCCAUUUCCCAUCCAGUACUGAAGUGUUAAAGUUGGAAGACAUUUGCUAAGUCAAAUCACUUCAGGUAAGUCUGCUCACAUCUAGCUUGGUACCAGCUUAAGGUUCAUUUAAAAUGCAGAGAAUUAAGUUCACUAACUUGGACAUCUCAACUCUCAAAUUUCUCAGCAUAUCUUCUAGUCACCUGGUAUGUUGAAUCACUGGUCUUGGGAAAUAGUGGGAAAAUGAUUUCUUAUUAAAUUUCACAUGCUUAUAAAAAUAAAAUGUUCUGGCCAGGCAUGGUGACUCACGCUUGUAAUCCCAGCACUGUGGGAGGCCGAGGUGGGUGGAUCACCUGAGGUCAGGAGUUCGAGACCGGCCUGACCAACAAGGUGAAACCCCAUCCCUACUAAAACUACAAAAAUUAGCUGGCCAUGGUGGCAGACACCUGUAGUCCCAGC
This 751-nucleotide long non-coding RNA is filed under the name Rhinopithecus bieti (black snub-nosed monkey). RNAcentral's name for it is "lncRNA (ENSRBIG00000045056.1)". Lineage: Eukaryota; Metazoa; Chordata; Mammalia; Primates; Cercopithecidae. The record is from RNAcentral.